RNAcentral lists this ribosomal RNA (465 nucleotides) under uncultured bacterium. RNAcentral describes it as "bacterial SSU rRNA". It matches the Rfam family "Bacterial small subunit ribosomal RNA", at positions 338 to 795 of the family's 1533-position model. The record is from RNAcentral.
CCUACGGGUGGCACCAGUGGGGAAUUUUGGACAAUGGGCGAAAGCCUGAUCCAGCAAUGCCGCGUGCAGGAUGAAGGCCUUCGGGUUGUAAACUGCUUUUGUACGGAACGAAAAAGCUCCUUCUAAUACAGGGGGCCCAUGACGGUACCGUAAGAAUAAGCACCGGCUAACUACGUGCCAGCAGCCGCGGUAAUACGUAGGGUGCGAGCAUUAAUCGGAAUUACUGGGCGUAAAGCGUGCGCAGGCGGUUAUGUAAGACAGAUGUGAAAUCCCCGGGCUCAACCUGGGAACUGCAUUUGUGACUGCAUGGCUAGAGUACGGUAGAGGGGGAUGGAAUUCCGCGUGUAGCAGUGAAAUGCGUAGAUAUGCGGAGGAACACCGAUGGCGAAGGCAAUCCCCUGGACCUGUACUGACGCUCAUGCACGAAAGCGUGGGGAGCAAACAGGAUUAGAUACCCGAGUAGUC